UUUGAAGAGCUUGCUCAGAUAUGACGAUGGACAUUGCAAAGAGUGGCGAACGGGUGAGUAACACGUGGGAAACCUACCUCUUAGCAGGGGAUAACAUUUGGAAACAGAUGCUAAUACCGUAUAACAAUAGCAACCGCAUGGUUGCUACUUAAAAGAUGGUUCUGCUAUCACUAAGAGAUGGUCCCGCGGUGCAUUAGUUAGUUGGUGAGGUAAUGGCUCACCAAGACGAUGAUGCAUAGCCGAGUUGAGAGACUGAUCGGCCACAAUGGGACUGAGACACGGCCCAUACUCCUACGGGAGGCAGCAGUAGGGAAUCUUCCACAAUGGGCGAAAGCCUGAUGGAGCAACGCCGCGUGUGUGAUGAAGGGUUUCGGCUCGUAAAACACUGUUGUAAGAGAAGAAUGACAUUGAGAGUAACUGUUCAAUGUGUGACGGUAUCUUACCAGAAAGGAACGGCUAAAUAUGUGCCAGCAGCCGCGGUAAUACGUAUGUUCCAAGCGUUAUCCGGAUUUAUUGGGCGUAAAGCGAGCGCAGACGGUUAUUUAAGUCUGAAGUGAAAGCCCUCAGCUCAACUGAGGAAUUGCUUUGGAAACUGGAUGACUUGAGUGCAGUAGAGGAAAGUGGAACUCCAUGUGUAGCGGUGAAAUGCGUAGAUAUAUGGAAGAACACCAGUGGCGAAGGCGGCUUUCUGG
This 692-nucleotide ribosomal RNA is filed under the name uncultured Bacilli bacterium. RNAcentral's name for it is "bacterial SSU rRNA". It matches the Rfam family "Bacterial small subunit ribosomal RNA", at positions 69 to 732 of the family's 1533-position model. The record is from RNAcentral. Lineage: Bacteria; Bacillati; Bacillota; Bacilli.